Molecule: transfer RNA, 108 nt
Organism: Colletotrichum sublineola
Lineage: Eukaryota; Fungi; Ascomycota; Sordariomycetes; Glomerellales; Glomerellaceae
Rfam family: tRNA
About the family: Transfer RNA (tRNA) molecules are approximately 80 nucleotides in length. Their secondary structure includes four short double-helical elements and three loops (D, anti-codon, and T loops). Further hydrogen bonds mediate the characteristic L-shaped molecular structure. tRNAs have two regions of fundamental functional importance: the anti-codon, which is responsible for specific mRNA codon recognition, and the 3' end, to which the tRNAs corresponding amino acid is attached (by aminoacyl-tRNA synthetases). tRNAs cope with the degeneracy of the genetic code in two manners: having more than one tRNA (with a specific anti-codon) for a particular amino acid; and 'wobble' base-pairing, i.e. permitting non-standard base-pairing at the 3rd anti-codon position.
Source: Rfam
GGCCGGUUGGCCCAAUGGCAAGGCGUCUGACUACGACUCGCGGGUCUCAAUUCAGAGAUCGGAGGCUGUGUAAUCAGGAGAUUCUGGGUUCGACCCCCAGGCUGGUCA